RNAcentral lists this ribosomal RNA (468 nucleotides) under uncultured bacterium. Its description in RNAcentral is "partial 16S ribosomal RNA". It matches the Rfam family "Bacterial small subunit ribosomal RNA", at positions 28 to 507 of the family's 1533-position model. The record is from RNAcentral.
GACGAACGCUGGCGGCGUGCUUAGCACAUGCAAGUCGAACGGAAAGGCCCUGCUUUUGUGGGGUGCUCGAGUGGCGAACGGGUGAGUAACACGUGAGUAACCUGCCCUCGACUUUGGGAUAACUUCAGGAAACUGGGGCUAAUACCGGAUAGGAGCUCCUGCUGCAUGGUGGGGGUUGGAAAGUUUCGGCGGUUGGGGAUGGACUCGCGGCUUAUCAGCUUGUUGGUGGGGUAGUGGCUUACCAAGGCUUUGACGGGUAGCCGGCCUGAGAGGGUGACCGGCCACAUUGGGACUGAGAUACGGCCCAGACUCCUACGGGAGGCAGCAGUGGGGAAUAUUGCACAAUGGGCGGAAGCCUGAUGCAGCAACGCCGCGUGCGGGAUGACGGCCUUCGGGUUGUAAACCGCUUUCGCCUGUGACGAAGCGUGAGUGACGGUAAUGGGUAAAGAAGCACCGGCUAACUACGUG